This 4447-nucleotide long non-coding RNA is filed under the name Lactuca sativa (garden lettuce). RNAcentral describes it as "long non-coding RNA (LSAT_LNC001040)". Lineage: Eukaryota; Viridiplantae; Streptophyta; Magnoliopsida; Asterales; Asteraceae. The record is from RNAcentral.
UAACAGAUUUUUGGUAAAUGAUAGGAAUCGGGGAUUCUCACAUUUACAAUAAGGAUUUGGGAUUGUGAAAUGAGUAUCAUUGGAAUCAUGUUCAAUUGAUCUACAUCACAAUGUAAGGAUCAUAGACAAACAUAGUGUGCAUACUUGGGGUAUGGCAUAACUAUUGUUUAGAAAAACAAAGUGUACAUGCUAGGAGCAUGGGACGACUGUUGUUUUUAUUCAAGUCUUAAGUUGAUUAUUUGAAACAUUAUACAAUGAAUAAUGUGUAAUCAAUAUGGUGAUAAAUAAAAGGUGGUUCUAUUUAUAUUCAAAAGGGUUCUGAGACCAUAUUGGAUUCGAUUAUUAUUGUGUUUCACUUUGCAUGUUUUGACUUCCAAAAUAGCUAGGUUAUUCUUUUCGAAUGACUAAGUUAUUUAAACACUCCACAGUCGUUCAUAUGUUGGAAGUAGGUAUGAAUCAAGACUGUCAUGAAUCGAGUUUGUAGAUGGCUAAAUGGGUUUAGUCAUAGCAAUGGUUGCUACAACAUUUGUAACAACCCGAAAUUGUCCGUCGCCAAAACCCGUUUUACCCGAAAGGUCGUCAUUAUCGGAUUCAUUCCGUUUUCUCUUUAGAAUUAAUUGAUAAACUUAUAUGUUUAUUUCAUCCUAAUGAGUAUCUAAAUCACUCAGGAACUUAUGUUAGUUGCCCAAAAACAAUUAUUUCAUAAGUUUUAAAAAUGUUCCUGUCGGGUGACGGAAACUCAAUCGGGUGCGACCAAAAGCCGCGUUUAGCGUCGGUAUCGGGUAGAAUUCCACCGCGUGCAAAUUUUAGGGACUAUAUAAACGUGUUUCAGCUUUCAUUUGAAGCUUUUUCCUUCUCUCACUACUCUCUCUCUAACCUCUCUCCAAAAUCCAAAGAUUAAGUGUCCAAAACUCAAAAUUUAAGCUUCAAAUCCUUAAGGUACCUCCCUAGCCUUAAACUAUAGCAUCUUUAGCUUCCAAAUUCGAGAUUUAAACAUGAAAUUGGACAAUGUAUGUGAGUUUACGGCCUAAGAAGAUGCCUAGGCCGUAAACACCAAAUAUGAUGGGUUUUGAGCCUUUAAACCCUUCCUUGACUAGUUUGGACCUUGGAUAUAGAUAUGGGACUUUAAAGUAUGGAAUCUAAACAUGUAAAACUUGAAUUAUGUGAUGUUUGAAGGAGUUUACGGCCAAGGAUCAUUCUUGGGCCGUAAACUCAUAUAAUGAGGGUUUUCAUGCCCUUAAACCCUUCCAAAUCACUCCUAUGGCUUAGAUAUGAAUUAUAGGACCUUCAUUCUAGCAUUUGGACACUUGAAACAUUAAUUUUGGGGGACUUAGAUGAGUUUAUGGCCAAGGGGAGUUCUUGGGCCGUAAACUCCCCAAAACUUGGCAUAAAUUCCAUUUUAAAUCAAGGGACCAACCAAAAGCCUUGGAAUAAAUCAAGGGACCAACCAAAAAUACUUUGAGGGCCUAAAACACAUCAUUUGUGAGGUUUCUAAGGGUUUACGGCCAAGACUUGUUCUUGGGCCGUAAACUCCAAAAUUUUUGGUGUUAAGAUGCAAACUACACACCCCUAAGGCCCUUAGAUGAAUUUUAGAAGUCCUUUCAUGCAAGUUCUAGACCUUGAAACACCUUGGAACACCACACACUAGAGUUUACGGCCAUGAAAGGGGUUUCAUGGGCCGUAAACUCCACAAAUCCCUCAUAUGUCCCUUGCAAACUCAUAUUAGGCCUUGGAUUAAUUCUACCAAUCACAUGUGAUUUGUUCUAACACCAUUUAACAUCAUUUUCUUGGGUAAAUAAGGGUUUACGUCCUUGGAGCCAUGCUAGGCCAUAAACUCCCUUAAAGGGGGGUCAAAUUGAUGUUUUGAAUCAUUCCAAGUCCUUAAACCAAGUCUAGAAGUUAUCCCCUAAGUGUUGGAAGUCCAAAUGGCACCAUAAAGCACCCAUCAUGAGUUUACGGCCGUAAACUCAUGGGGAAGGGUGUUUUGGCCGUAAACUCCCUUAAGGGGAGUGUUCCUUUGAUGUCCCAACUCAUUUCCCAAGUCCCUUGUGUCAUUCAUGUCCCUAAACGCCACCCGGGUCCCACCAAACACUUGUAUCGGAGUGUUAUCGUGACCUGAAGCAUUGGUCCGUAUCCGACAAUCAAUCUAAGUCCUAAUUGGAUACAAAUGUGUAUAUUUACAUCAUAAUUAGGAACCUUGUGCGUUUACAAGUCCCGGCUCAGCUCUUAGCAUCUAAACCGUCUCAUAUCUCGUCCGGUGAGUUCAUACCCCUACGGCUUUUUCACUGUUUUCAAUGUUUUCAGGGGGGGAAUACAAGCAAGCUAUAACUGUUUUCCAAUCACAACAUUGAUGUGUUUCAAACAAUCUUUGACAAACCUAUAAACUCUUUUUCUCCUUAUGUAUUAUGCUGAGUAUAAUGAAUGACUACUCGAUUUCAACUAAAUGGAUUUUAGUUAAGGAAACAAUCAAACUAAUCAAAUUAUUAUGGGAAUAAUUUGGGGGUCUUUACUGCUCUUUCUGUCGUAUACUGAUAUCUAUACCAAGUUAUUAGAUAAACUAUGUCUGUUUCAGUUUAUCUUUGUAUCAUUUGAAUGUAUUAUCCGAUAAUUACAUGUAUGUAUCUAUACUUUACGGUAUUAUGUUUCAUAAUCUUCUGUAUGUCGAUAUCUUACGAGAACCCUGUGAAUACUUUAGUACUAGCUUGUGAGAUAGUCACUACCCUUUAUGGAUGAUCAGUAAAUCCUCCCCGGAAGUGUAACCAGAGUCUCCUGGAGGGAGAGCGCGGAAUUUGUGAAUAGAUCUAUUCGGGACUGAAUAUCCCACACCUUAACUGUUAGCUACAGUUAGGCGGGCACGCCUAGGGUGACAAAUUUCUGGAUAUCGUUCGACGUCUGACAAAUGUCAAGGAGGUCACGUUGUCGUAUUAGUAUGGUUACCCGACUCACAAUAUGUAUUAAUAUCAGCUUAUUCACAGUUUGGGUUCAGAAACAACGUCUCGUUCGGGAUAGUGAUCCCAUGGUUUUAUAUCUAUAUUUUAUAUCUCUUUCGGGAUUGUGAUCCCAUGGUGUUGUUUCUAGAUCUCUUUCGGGAUAGUGAUCCCAUGGUAUUAUCAAACUACUUUAUAUCCAUGUCCUAUACGGGAUAGUGAUCCCAUGGUUUACUUCUAUAUCUCUUUCGGGAUAGUGAUCCCAUGGUAUUAAUCAAACUAUUUUGAAUCUAGUUCGGGAUAGUGAUCCCAUGGUUGGUAUUUACAACUUGUAUGGGAUGUCUUUCCCCAUGGUCUUAAACUAUAUCUUAUACGGGAUAAUGAUCCCAUGGUUUGUAACUAUAACUUAUAUGGGAUAGUGAUCCCAUGGUUUUCUAAAUUCAUAUUUUAUACAGGAUAAUGAUCCUAAGGUUUCGUGUCUUAACUAUAUCUUAUACGGGAUAGUGAUCCCAUGGUUUUCUAAAACUAUAACUUAUACGGGAUAGUGAUCCCAUGGCUUUCUAAAACUAUAUCUUAUACGGGAUAGUGAUCCCAUGGUUCCUAAUCUGUAACUUAUUCGGGAUAGUGAUCCCAUGGUUUCAAUCUAUAUUUACAUAUAUACAUUAACUUAUCUCGUGUUAGUCCGGGAUGAUAGUCCCAUGAUCUUGAAUCUGUACUUUCAAAUGUGUCAAACUAACUUAUAUGUCUUUCGGGAUAGUGAUCCCAAGAUUUUCAUUAUAUAGUUUUGUGUGUUAAACUAUACUUGUGUUAUACAACCGAUCUUACAAUUAGGAAAAUAUGGGAUUUUCCUGGGGUAAAUUACAAUACAUAACCGAAUUGGUAACAAAUGAUAACUUAACCAACUUUACAUAAGAAAAUAUGGGAUUUUCUUGGAUAACAAAUCUUUUCGGAAACUAAAGGAAACCGAUACAUUUUCAUAAAACAAAACCGCUUAUGAACUCACCAGCUUUAUGCUGAUUUUCAAACCGCUUGUAUUCUCAGGUCCAAGUUAGACAGGUACUCGGUGAUCUCUUUUGGCAAAGACGGAGUGCGUAGAAGACUCGUCUCAACUUUUGUUAAUUUGAUGCAUAUGUAUAUCUUGUAUAACUUUACUUUUGAAACAAAUGUAAACUUUCAUAUAUAUGUAAGGUCAUGUUUGUUUACUGUGAUUACUAUGUACAUUGGAUUUGAUACACAACAUGGUAGUCAACCCCGGAGACGUUUCCGCCUUUGGUUUUCGGGGUGUGACAACAUUCAUGAGUGCUCAUAAGUUAUGAGUAUUGGAUUAAACCCACGCUCACUUGUAUCACUUCAUGGAAUUUCUCUCGAGUGAUCGUGAGAUGGUAAUAUCAUAUAAAUCUUCAAACCUAGAGAUAUGAGUUGUUACCUAUGAGUUGGUUGUGCAUUGAUUGCACGUAAACGCAUCAGUAACUUGAUGUUAUAAAACGUGCCUUUGUGUACAAUUCAACAAGUAGUAGAAC